AGAGUUUGAUCAUGGCUCAGAAUCAACGCUGGCGGCGCGCCUAACACAUGCAAGUCGAACGAGAAAGUGGAGCAAUCCAUGAGUAAAGUGGCGUACGGGUGAGUAACACGUGGAUCAUCUACCUUUUAGUGAGGAAUAACCAUGGGAAACCGUGGCUAAUACCGCAUAAGCCCGAGAGGGGAAAGUCGAAAGACGCUGAAAGAGGAGUCCGCGGCCGAUUAGCUAGUUGGCAGGGUAAAAGCCUACCAAGGCAAAGAUCGGUAGCCGGCCUGAGAGGGCACGCGGCCACACUGGCACUGAAACACGGGCCAGACUCCUACGGGAGGCAGCAGUGGGGAAUCUUGCACAAUGGGGGAAACCCUGAUGCAGCGACGCCGCGUGAGCGAUGAAGCCCUUCGGGGUGUAAAGCUCUUUCGGCAGGGAAGAUAGUGACGGUACCUGCAGAAGCAGCUGCGGCUAACUACGUGCCAGCAGCCGCGGUAAUACGUAGGCAGCAAGCGUUGUUCGGAGUUACUGGGCGUAAAGGGUGUGUAGGCGGUUGUUUAAGUUUGGUGUGAAAUCUCCCGGCUCAACUGGGAGGGUGCGCCGAAUACUGAAUGACUUCGAGUGCGGGAGAGGAAAGUGGAAUUCCUGGUGUAGCGGUGAAAUGCGUAGAUAUCAGGAGGAACACCGGUGGUGUAGACGGCUUUCUGGACCGUAACUGACGCUGAGACACGAAAGCGUGGGUAGCAAACAGGAUUAGAUACCCCCGUAGUCC
This 757-nucleotide ribosomal RNA is filed under the name uncultured bacterium. RNAcentral describes it as "bacterial SSU rRNA". It matches the Rfam family "Bacterial small subunit ribosomal RNA", at positions 8 to 796 of the family's 1533-position model. The record is from RNAcentral.